CCUACGUGGGGCAGCAGUGAGGAAUAUUGGUCAAUGGGCGCGAGCCUGAACCAGCCAAGUAGCGUGAAGGAUGACUGCCCUACGGGUUGUAAACUUCUUUUAUAAAGGCAUACAGUGAUGCACGUGUGCCUUUUUGUAUGUCCUUUAUGAAUAAGGAUCGGCUCACUCCGUGCCAGCAGCCGCGGUAAUACGGAGGAUCCGAGCGUUAUCCGGAUUUAUUGGGUUUACAGUGAGCGUAGAUGGGUUGUUAAGUCAGUUGGGAAAGUUUGCGGCUCAACCGUAAAAUUGCAAUUGAUACUGGCAGUCUUGAGUACAGUUGAGGUAGGCGGAAUUCGUGGUGUAGCGGUGAAAUGCUUAGAUAUCACGAAGAACUCCGAUUGCGAAGGCAGCUUACUAAACUGCCACUGACAUUGAUGCUCGAAAGUGUGGGUAUCAAACAGGAUUAGAUACCCCUGUAGUC
This 460-nucleotide ribosomal RNA is filed under the name uncultured bacterium. Its description in RNAcentral is "partial 16S ribosomal RNA". It matches the Rfam family "Bacterial small subunit ribosomal RNA", at positions 338 to 795 of the family's 1533-position model. The record is from RNAcentral.